This 783-nucleotide ribosomal RNA is filed under the name uncultured Neocallimastigales. Its description in RNAcentral is "partial large subunit ribosomal RNA". It matches the Rfam family "Eukaryotic large subunit ribosomal RNA", at positions 24 to 643 of the family's 3401-position model. Lineage: Eukaryota; Fungi; Neocallimastigomycota; Neocallimastigomycetes; Neocallimastigales. The record is from RNAcentral.
UAUCUCUGUAGAGUCUGCAUAUCAAUAAGCGGAGGAAAAGAAACUAACAUAGGAUUCCCUCAGUAACGGCGAGUGAAGCGGGAAGAGCUCAAAUUUGAAAUCUUCAAGGUUCUACCUUGACGAAUUGUAGUUUAAAGAAGUGUUUUCUGUUGGAGUUUUGGUAAAAGUUCUUUGGAAUAGGACAUCAUAGAGGGUGAGAAUCCCGUAUUUGACCAUUACUUUCCAGCGUUGUGAUACACUUUCAAAGAGUCGGAUUGUUUGGGAAUGCAGUCCAAAAUGGGUGGUAAAUUUCAUCUAAAGCUAAAUACUGGCGAGAGACCGAUAGCGAACAAGUACCGUGAGGGAAAGAUGAAAAGAACUUUGAAAAGAGAGUUAAACAGUACGUGAAAUUGUCAAAAGGGAAGCGUUUGACACCAGUGUUGUUUUCUCGAAAAUCAAUUAAGAAUGGCAUGAUUUUGUGUUGUAUUGACCUUUAUCAGCUUUCUGCACUCUUUUCUUAGUCUUUUUUAAUGCACUUUUCGGUUAACAAGUCAACAUCAAUUUCUUUUGUUGUAAAAGAGUCAUUCGGAAGGUGGCUUUCUUUUCGGAGAAAGUGUUUAUAGCCCUUAUGCCUCUACAAUCGGAGAGAUUAAGGUCUGCAGCGUAGAUCCUUCGGGGUUAGAUACAUUUGUGCUAAGUUAGUAGCCUUUCAUAGACAACUUGUUGACUAUGAUCAGUCAUGUAGGCUUACUCGCUUAGUGCUAUUUUACCUACGCUUAGGAUGUUGAAGAUGUAGCACAUCAU